RNAcentral lists this ribosomal RNA (156 nucleotides) under uncultured bacterium. Its description in RNAcentral is "partial 16S ribosomal RNA". It matches the Rfam family "Bacterial small subunit ribosomal RNA", at positions 355 to 509 of the family's 1533-position model. The record is from RNAcentral.
UGAGGAAUAUUGGUCAAUGGGCGCGAGCCUGAACCAGCCAAGUCGCGUGAGGGAUGACGGCCCUACGGUUGUAAACCUCUUUGUCGGGGAGCAAAUUCCGCCACGUGUGGCGGAGUCGAGAGUACCCGAAGAAAAAGCAUCGGCUAACUCCGUGCC